This 1311-nucleotide ribosomal RNA is filed under the name Triticum aestivum (bread wheat). Its description in RNAcentral is "partial small subunit ribosomal RNA". Lineage: Eukaryota; Viridiplantae; Streptophyta; Magnoliopsida; Poales; Poaceae. The record is from RNAcentral.
AUGGCGGCCGCCGUCCAUGUCCAUGUCCACCUCCACCACCAUUACCACAUCCCCCUCCUCUGUCCGCCGCCUCGCCGGACCGGCCUCUUCUUGUCGCCGUGGCGCGCUCUCUCUCUCCCGCUCCCGCUUCCGCCCGCCCGCCUCCGAUCCUCCUUCCCCGCCCCCACCUCCCACCCGGCCGUCGCCGGCACAGAUGAGUGGGAGGCCAAGGCGGAGUUCGUGGUGGUCACGUUCUACAAGCUGGUGCCCGUGGAGGACCCCCGCGCCGAGGUCGCCGCGCACCUCCACUUCCUCCAGGGACGCGACAUAGACAUACAGGGUCGCAUCUACAUGAACCAGCAGGGGAUCAACGCUCAGUACAGUGGUCCGCGCAAAGAUGCAAUGGCGUACGCUGAUUGGGUCAGGAAAGAUCGGCGUUUCUCUGAUAUACUCAUCCAAAUUUCGCCAGCGUUAAGCGGGCAUGCUUUUCCUCGGCUCAAACUGCGCUACAAACAAUCUCUUGUUCAGUUGGAAGGAGGGAGUUGUCAUCUUCCUUUGGUGGAACCUAGCAUGCGUGCUUCACCACUGACCCCAUCCGAGUGGAGGGAGAAGCUUGAAGCUAGGAAACGCCUUGAAACCGGAGCACCUGGAGAUACCUCUGAAGGACGAAAGCUUUUGCUCCUUGACGUUAGGAAUGACUAUGAAUGGGACAUUGGACAUUUUGAAGGAGCCAAGAGGCCUAACGUGGACUGCUUCAGAAGCACUUCAUUUGGGCUGUCAAACUCAGAGCAGGAGAUGGAUUCGACGGACCCUCUGCAUGGAGUAGACAAAGAGAACACAGACAUAUUAAUGUACUGCACGGGUGGCAUAAGAUGCGACGUCUACUCAACGAUCUUGAGGGAGAAGGGUUUCGGGAACCUGUACACUCUGAAGGGGGGCGUGUCCAACUACCUCAAGAGCCAAGGGAGCGCUGAGUGGGUGGGUAACCUGUUUGUGUUCGACGACCGGCUCUCCCUGCCACCGGCCAAGUUUGCAGAGGCAGAAGUCGCAGCAGAAGAAGGGGGUGCCGACAACGGGGAUCUGUCAUCGUCUCGGUGGCUGGGGCGGUGCUACGUGUGCGGGUCGGAGGUGGAGGAGCUGAGGCACCGCAACUGCGCCAGCAUCGACUGCAACCGCCUCUACCUGUGCUGCGGUGGGUGCUUGGAGGAGCUAAGGGGCUGCUGCUGCUCGGAGUGCAGGCGCGCGCCACGGUUGCGGCCGCUGCUGCCGGGGCACCAGAGAUACGACAAGUGGCAUCUGUACCGCGAUGACGCCUCGACCAUCUCUAGCUGA